GCUACCAUGCAGUCGACGGUAACAGAGGAGCUUGCUCCUGCUGACGAGUGGCGCACGGGUGAGUAAUGCAUAGGUAACGUGCCCCUUAGUCUAGGAUAGCCACUGGAAACGGUGAUUAAUACUGGAUACUCCUUCUUCCUUAAUGGAAGUUGGGAAAGUUUUUCGCUAAGGGAUCGGCCUAUGUUGUAUCAGGUAGUUGGUGAGGUAAUGGCUCACCAAGCCUAUGACACAUAGCGGGUCUGAGAGGAUGAUCCGCCACACUGGUACUGAGACACGGACCAGACUCCUACGGGAGGCAGCAGUGGGGAAUAUUGCACAAUGGACGAAAGUCUGAUGCAGCAACGCCGCGUGGAGGAUGACACAUUUCGGUGCGUAAACUCCUUUUAUAUGAGAAGAUAAUGACGGUAUCAUAUGAAUAAGCACCGGCUAACUCCGUGCCAGCAGCCGCGGUAAUACGGAGGGUGCAAGCGUUAUUCGGAAUCACUGGGCGUAAAGGACGCGUAGGCGGGUUGGUAAGUCAGAUGUGAAAUCCUACAGCUUAACUGUAGAACUGCAUUUGAAACUACUAACCUAGAGUAUGGGAGGGGGAGAUGGAAUUAGUGGUGUAGGGGGUAAAAUCCGUAGAUAUCACUAGGAAUACCGAAAGCGAAGGCGAUCUCCUGGAACAUAACUGACGCUAAGGCGUGAAAGCG
Molecule: ribosomal RNA, 692 nt
Filed under: uncultured bacterium
Lineage: Bacteria
Description: bacterial SSU rRNA
Rfam family: Bacterial small subunit ribosomal RNA
Source: RNAcentral